GGCCGCGGUAUCCUAACCGUGCGAAGGUAGCGUAAUCACUUGUUCUUUAAUUGAGGACUAGUAUGAACGGCCCCACGACGACAACACUGUCUCCUUUUUCUAAUCAAUGAAACUGUCUCCUCGUGAAGAAGCGAGGAUAAAUAUAUAAGACGAGAAGACCCUAUGGAGCUUUAAACAACCGGGGUACUUGCUAAUUCCUAAUUCACUUUCUGAAAGCUAAACAAAUUAAAGCAUCUUACCCCCUAGUUUUAGGUUGGGGUGACCACGGAGAAAAAACCAACCUCCACGCUGUAAGAAGCCUCCCAUCUUCUAAGCUAAGAGUUACAUCUCUAAGCAUCAACACAUUGACUACCAUUGACCCAAUAAUUUGAUCAACGAACCAAGUUACCCUAGGGAUAACAGCGCAAUCUACUUUAAGAGCUCAUUCGACAAGUAGGUUUACGACCUCGAUGUUGGAUCAGGGUAUCCUAGUGGUGCAGCCGCUACUAAUGAAUUGUCU
Molecule: ribosomal RNA, 499 nt
Filed under: Ranitomeya fantastica (red-headed poison frog)
Lineage: Eukaryota; Metazoa; Chordata; Amphibia; Anura; Dendrobatidae
Description: partial 16S ribosomal RNA
Rfam family: Bacterial large subunit ribosomal RNA
Source: RNAcentral